GAAGAAUUUGCGAACCUCGAAGAACUUCUCAAAUCGAAUGAGCAUCGAAUAUACCUGACACAAAAACUAUCCUCUAUUGGAGGCACAAGUGGCCGUCAAUGCGUAUUGGCUGUUCUCAAGUCAUUACUAACAAACGAAUUAGCCAUGCAGUUCAAUUGGGCUGGUAGAGAUAAAAUUGCUUUCCAAAAGACACUGGUGAUGCAAGUUAUUUACGAUGCUGUUAAAGCUACUUUCCAUGGUAAGGAAUUAGUAAGCGAUAUCAAGGAAGCGAAUAUUGCAGCUGCAGUUAAAGAUUGGUUGAAACUCGCUCGAUCGCGAUACUUCUACGUACCUAAAAGACGCCUUCAAUAGUAUCUGUGUUCUCUUUCGAAAUAAUGUGUCAAUACUUUUUCUAACUCACUCUGCCAGGAUUGUGAUUUUUUUUCAAGUCCCAAGAGAAAGCUAACGAUUUUCCUCAUUGAGGUGUAUCCACUGUAUAAUUAGUUUGUUUUAUGUUUCAUUCGUUGUCAAACCACUCGUAUCCGAUACAAGUUUUUGUUUGUUUAGAUUUACUUAAGUUUACUGUAUGUUGUACUUCUAUACUCAAGUCCGGAGUAGAUGAAAGAUAACGAUUUUCCUCAUUGAGGUACAAUCAUUGUAUGAUUAUUUUGUUUCAUGUUUUAUUUGUUAUCAAAGUACUCGUAUCGGAUACAAGUUUUUGUUUGUUUAUAUUUACGUAAGUUUACUAUUUGCUAUAGCUACUAUACUCUUGUGAGUAUAUCUA
This is a long non-coding RNA of Neodiprion virginianus, 763 nucleotides long. RefSeq lists it as uncharacterized. NCBI's taxonomy places the organism in Eukaryota, Metazoa, Arthropoda, Insecta, Hymenoptera, Diprionidae. The record is from RefSeq and is a predicted model, not a curated record. The transcript is spliced from 3 exons.